RNAcentral lists this long non-coding RNA (241 nucleotides) under Fukomys damarensis (Damara mole-rat). RNAcentral's name for it is "lncRNA (ENSFDAG00000028570.1)". Lineage: Eukaryota; Metazoa; Chordata; Mammalia; Rodentia; Bathyergidae. The record is from RNAcentral.
GACUCAGUUACUUAAACAGAAAGGAAGGUUACAGCUACAUCUACAAGCUCAAUUAGAUCUUGUUACUUUCAUUUUUUGGAGGAGGAGAAAGUGAGUCAUCGGGUGACUUAUGCAUAGAUGAUCAUGAUGAUGAUGACUUUGAUGUUGGCCAUGUGAGCCAAAAUUCUUGUGAAAGUGAAAGAAUCAACUGAUACAGACAGGGAAUGCAGACUUCCUUGAUUCAGAUGAUAAAGAAAACAGC